This 499-nucleotide ribosomal RNA is filed under the name uncultured bacterium. RNAcentral's name for it is "bacterial SSU rRNA". It matches the Rfam family "Bacterial small subunit ribosomal RNA", at positions 903 to 1397 of the family's 1533-position model. The record is from RNAcentral.
AAAGGAAUAGACGGGGGCCCGCACAAGCGGUGGAGCAUGUGCUUUAAUUCGAUGCAACGCGAAGAACCUUACCCAGGCUUGACAUGGGGGCGAAAGUCUAUAGAAAUAUGGAACCUUCCGCAAGGAACGCCCUACACAGGUGCUGCAUGGUUGUCGUCAGCUCGUGUCGUGAGAUGUUGGGUUAAGUCCCGCAACGAGCGCAACCCUCGCCCUUAGUUGCCAUCAGGUAAUGCUGGGAACUCUAAGGGGACUGCCUAGUUUAACUAGGAGGAAGGUGGGGAUGACGUCAAAUCCUCAUGGCCCUUACGCCUGGGGCCAGACACGUGCUACAAUGGUCGGUACAGCGAGCUGCAAGCUAGUGAUAGCAAGCUAAUCUCUUAAAACCGAUCUCAGUUCGGAUAGGAGUCUGCAAUUCGACUCCUUGAAGCUGGAAUCGCUAGUAAUCGCGGAUCAGCAUGCCGCGGUGAAUACGUUCCCGGGCCUUGUACACACCGCCCGU